AUUGAACGCUGGCGGCAGGCCUAACACAUGCAAGUCGAGCGGAUGAAGGGAGCUUGCUCCUGGAUUCAGCGGCGGACGGGUGAGUAAUGCCUAGGAAUCUGCCUGGUAGUGGGGGAUAACGUCCGGAAACGGGCGCUAAUACCGCAUACGUCCUGAGGGAGAAAGUGUGGGAUCUUCGGACCUCACGCUAUCAGAUGAGCCUAGGUCGGAUUAGCUAGUUGGUGGGGUAAAGGCCUACCAAGGCGACGGUCCGUAACUGGUCUGAGAGGAUGAUCAGUCACACUGGAACUGAGACACGGUCCAGACUCCUACGGGAGGCAGCAGUGGGGAAUAUUGGACAAUGGGCGAAAGCCUGAUCCAGCCAUGCCGCGUGUGUGAAGAAGGUCUUCGGAUUGUAAAGCACUUUAAGUUGGGAGGAAGGGCAGUAAGUUAAUACCUUGCUGUUUUGACGUUACCAACAGAAUAAGCACCGGCUAACUUCGUG
This 484-nucleotide ribosomal RNA is filed under the name uncultured bacterium. Its description in RNAcentral is "partial 16S ribosomal RNA". It matches the Rfam family "Bacterial small subunit ribosomal RNA", at positions 30 to 507 of the family's 1533-position model. The record is from RNAcentral.